RNAcentral lists this long non-coding RNA (931 nucleotides) under Malus domestica (apple). RNAcentral describes it as "long non-coding RNA (MDOM_LNC012099)". Lineage: Eukaryota; Viridiplantae; Streptophyta; Magnoliopsida; Rosales; Rosaceae. The record is from RNAcentral.
ACGCCCAUGAUGAAUGAGAGGCUUUGGCCGAAGAAUCUCUGAUGCCAAGGUUAGAAUUUGAGAGAGAAAGUGUUUAGAGAAUUUUAGAAGAGAAUUGGACUUAGAUUUUUGGAGAAAUGUGGGGCUAUAUAUAGGGCUGUGGCCGGCCCUAUUAGGAGAAUUACGACCGACCACAUAUGGUUGAUUUGUGGGAUUGAUUGCAAGAUAUUAUGUGAAAUAAUAUCUUGCAAUUAAUUUGGUAAUUAAUCCCAAUUUGAAAAGAAUAAUUAGGAGUUACCUUGUGGGUGAGGAUUUAAUGAGGAGUGAUGAGAGGGUUUUAAAAGAAUACCAUUUUGAUCACCUUUGACCUCAAUUGAGCCGUUAUUGUCCGUUACAUGCGCGUGGGAAUCCCAAUGUGCCUUAAUGGUAAUUUUGUCUUUUUAACCCAAAAGUCCAUGUGAAGCCUCCAUAUUUUUCUUGAUUAUUUUUUGCUCCACACGUAUGAUAGGGUCCCAAGAGACAUUAUUUGAAGGAUUUUAGAGAGUAAAGGAGUAUGAGUAGCAUAUAUCCAAACUAUAAAGGAUAUGUAUGAUGGAGCAAAAACUGCCAUAAGAACUCAUGAAGGACAAACCAAAAGCUUCCCCAUAAUUGUAAGGUUACAUCAAGGUUCAUCUUUAAGUCCUUACCUUUUUGCAUUGGUAAUGGAUGAGUUAACGGGACAUAUUCAAGAUAAUAUUCCUUAAUGUAUGCUUUUAGUAGACAAUAUAGUGUUGAUAAAUGAAACUUAGGAAGGGGUAAUUACGAAGCUUAACCUUUAGAGAGAAGUGUUGGAAUCUAAAAGUCUUCUCCUAAGUCGGUCAAAGACAAAAUAUAUGGAGUGCAAGUUCAGUGCAAAUGGAGGCUCAAAUGAGUUAGGGGUGAGGAUCAGAGACCAGGAAGUACCAAAGAGCGA